AAUAAGUGCAGUUUUAUACUAUUUAUGUUCAACGUUUGAUCGUUCGUCUUAUUUAAAAAAAUUUAUAAUUAGUAUUUUUAUUGCUAUUAGAUGAUAAAACAUGAAUAGCACUUUAUGUGUGGAUAAUUUUUUUUAUUUUUUUCACAAAUUUUUCAAAUAAGACGAACGGUUAAACAUUGGACACGGAUAUCCACGGCUGCACUUAUU
This is a non-coding RNA of Oryza glumipatula, 207 nucleotides long. The record is from Rfam. NCBI's taxonomy places the organism in Eukaryota, Viridiplantae, Streptophyta, Magnoliopsida, Poales, Poaceae.